This 983-nucleotide long non-coding RNA is filed under the name Citrus sinensis (sweet orange). RNAcentral's name for it is "long non-coding RNA (CSIN_LNC003277)". Lineage: Eukaryota; Viridiplantae; Streptophyta; Magnoliopsida; Sapindales; Rutaceae. The record is from RNAcentral.
GGAAUGUUAUUCACCCAAAAUAUAAUUUCAGAUUGGUCCAAAGCUAGUCUAGCUAAGUUGUGACGUGUGAGCUAUUACACUGCUGGCUCUUGGAGUAUAGUGAAUUGAGAUUUGUUGCUGCCUUCUAAUACAAGAUUGCAUAUCAGAUAUAACCUAAAAGAAUUCCAUUCGUGUACUUUUCUUGUUCAAAACAGGUCUGCAAUCUCCUGUGAAUCAGCUUCUAUGAUCGAGGGCCAACAUCCCACCCUUUCUGCAGUUUCAACCCCAAGUCUUGCAGCUUCUGCAACCUCAUAUAUAUACUACCUCCAUCCGAAACUCGGAAGGUUGCAUAGCCGCUGGUAUCACUUUGGCUCUAGAAUCUCUAAUCACAGCAUCCAAAUCAGCUCUAAUCUGCUCAACCACAACUGAUGCAUCCACAUUUAUCUUAAAACAACCUGCUGGCGGGGCGUCGCCCUUAGGUAUUUACAUUAGACUUUUCCUUCAACGAUGUCUGUAAUUGUGGCAGCUGGAUCUUUUUGUAAGAAUGCACUACAGCAUCUGCUUUAGCAGCUAAUAAUCGGGAAUCUUCCUUCUUUUUUUCAUAGAUAAGAAGGUUCCUUGCGUGCCAAAUAGCCCAAUAAAUGGCAACCAUCAGCUCCAUAUCUGACUUGCUUCUUGCAUGCCAAACAGCAUAAUGCUACCCUCCAGAAGCCUGACAUGUUCUUCAAAAGGGGUUAAUCUCCAAAAUUUUCAGAAACUUUGCAACUAAUAAGUGCAUGUAAAAUGGACUCCUUUGUUCUUCUACAUCUCUGACACCGUGGGCUUGGAACGACUUUCUUCUUCCAAAGGUUUUGAGCAGUAGGUAACAGAUUCCUUGCUGCUCUUCACAUGAACAUCUUCAUCUUUUCUGGAAGUUCCAAAGACCAGUUUGCUUUCCAUGGAGACUAUGGUUUGUUUGAGAUGCUGGCUUGGUCAGGAAAUGUAAACUUUAAAGCCACUUGGUA